UACAGAGGUCUCAAGCGUUGUUCGGAUUCAUUGGGCGUAAAGGGUGCGUAGGCGGCGCGGUAAGUCGGGUGUGAAAUCCCGGGGCUCAACCCCGUGACUGCAUCCGAUACUGUCAGGCUAGAGGUAGGUAGGGGAGAUCGGAAUUCCUGGUGUAGCGGUGAAAUGCGCAGAUAUCAGGAGGAACACCGGUGGCGAAGGCGGAUCUCUGGGCCUUACCUGACGCUCAGGCGCGAAAGCUAGGGGAGCGAACAGG
RNAcentral lists this ribosomal RNA (253 nucleotides) under uncultured bacterium. Its description in RNAcentral is "partial 16S ribosomal RNA". It matches the Rfam family "Bacterial small subunit ribosomal RNA", at positions 524 to 776 of the family's 1533-position model. The record is from RNAcentral.